Molecule: ribosomal RNA, 414 nt
Filed under: uncultured bacterium
Lineage: Bacteria
Description: bacterial SSU rRNA
Rfam family: Bacterial small subunit ribosomal RNA
Source: RNAcentral
AAGGAAUAUUGGACAAUGGUCGCAAGACUGAUCCAGCCAUGCCGCGUGCAGGAAGACGGCCCUAUGGGUUGUAAACUGCUUUUGUACCAGAGAAAACCUAUCUACGUGUAGAUAGCUGAUAGUAUGGUAAGAAUAAGCAUCGGCUAACUUCGUGCCAGCAGCCGCGGUAAGACGAAGGAUGCAAGCGUUAUCCGGAUUCAUUGGGUUUAAAGGGUGCGUAGGCGGGCUUGUAAGUCAGUGGUGAAAUCUCUCAGCUUAACUGAGAAACUGCCAUUGAUACUGCAGGCCUAGAGUAUAGAUGACGUUGGCGGAAUAUGACAUGUAGUGGUGAAAUACUUAGAUAUGUCAUAGAACACCGAUUGCGAAGGCAGCUAACGAAACUAUAACUGACGCUGAGGCACGAAAGUGCGGGGA